This 464-nucleotide ribosomal RNA is filed under the name uncultured bacterium. Its description in RNAcentral is "bacterial SSU rRNA". It matches the Rfam family "Bacterial small subunit ribosomal RNA", at positions 330 to 792 of the family's 1533-position model. The record is from RNAcentral.
CCCAGACUCCUACGGGAGGCAGCAGUGAGGAAUAUUGGUCAAUGGGAGAGAUCCUGAACCAGCCAAGCCGCGUGAGGGAAGACGGCCCUAUGGGUUGUAAACCUCUUUUGUCGGAGAACAAAACCCGGGACGUGUCCCGGACUGCGUGUAUCCGAAGAAAAAGCAUCGGCUAACUCCGUGCCAGCAGCCGCGGUAAUACGGAGGAUGCGAGCGUUAUCCGGAUUUAUUGGGUUUAAAGGGUGCGCAGGCGGAGGUGCAAGUCAGCGGUCAAAUUGCGGGGCUCAACCCCGUACUGCCGUUGAAACUGCAUCCCUUGAGUGCGCGAGAAGUAUGCGGAAUGCGUGGUGUAGCGGUGAAAUGCAUAGAUAUCACGCAGAACUCCGAUUGCGAAGGCAGCAUACCGGCGCGCAACUGACGCUCAUGCACGAAAGCGUGGGUAUCGAACAGGAUUAGAUACCCGAGUA